This 579-nucleotide small RNA is filed under the name Pongo abelii (Sumatran orangutan). Its description in RNAcentral is "sense overlapping". Lineage: Eukaryota; Metazoa; Chordata; Mammalia; Primates; Hominidae. The record is from RNAcentral.
AUGCAUAUUGGAUAUCUAAAUAGAGAUAUCAAGAAAUGAAGAUAUGAGUUUCCAGUUCCAGGGAGAAAUUCAGACUAGAAAUAUAAAUUUAGGAAUUUUAAAGUUAGUGGUCACAUUUAAAGCUGCAGAAUACAAAGAGAUCACCUGUGUGAGAGAACUGAGUCCUGAAACAUACCCAUGUUUAAAGAUCUGGGAGGUGUAGAGGAACUAUCAAAGGAGACUGAGAAGGAGCAGCCGGUGAGAUAAGCAAAAAGAAAAGUAAGAGAUACGGAACUGGACUUCCCUUUGGCAAAAAAUUUAGAAAAUGAUAAUUAGGCCUUGGAGAUACAAUAAUGGUACAAGAGAACAUAUUCAUGACCACAAGAAGCUGACAGACUAGGUAUAUUGAGGAAAUAAGACAGAUUGAGGCCAAAUCAGGGGAAUCUUCAGGCUUGCUUCAGGAAAUCAUAGGAUGAAUUAUUGGACCAUCUACUACUCUGCCUUUUCAUCCUCAUGAAACACUGAGAUGAUUUAUAUGAAUCAAAUUGCUGGUGAUUUUCCAGGUCCAAUAUGAGUUAGUUAGUAAAUCUUAUGCACCAU